RNAcentral lists this transfer RNA (77 nucleotides) under Desulfurobacteriaceae bacterium. RNAcentral's name for it is "tRNA-His". It matches the Rfam family "tRNA". Rfam says of the family: Transfer RNA (tRNA) molecules are approximately 80 nucleotides in length. Their secondary structure includes four short double-helical elements and three loops (D, anti-codon, and T loops). Further hydrogen bonds mediate the characteristic L-shaped molecular structure. tRNAs have two regions of fundamental functional importance: the anti-codon, which is responsible for specific mRNA codon recognition, and the 3' end, to which the tRNAs corresponding amino acid is attached (by aminoacyl-tRNA synthetases). tRNAs cope with the degeneracy of the genetic code in two manners: having more than one tRNA (with a specific anti-codon) for a particular amino acid; and 'wobble' base-pairing, i.e. permitting non-standard base-pairing at the 3rd anti-codon position. Lineage: Bacteria; Pseudomonadati; Aquificota; Aquificia; Desulfurobacteriales; Desulfurobacteriaceae. The record is from RNAcentral.
GUGGGCGUAGCUCAGCUGGUUAGAGCGAGGGACUGUGGAUCCCUAGGUCGCCGGUUCAAGUCCGGUCGCCCACCCCA